CCCCUAGAUGUUCUGGGCCGCACGCGCGCUACACUGACGAAUGCAACGAGCUUAUAACCUUGGCCGAAAGGUUUGGGUAAUCUCCAAAUUUCGUCGUGAUGGGGAUAGAUUAUUGCAAUUAUUAAUCUUCAACGAGGAAUUCCUAGUAAGCGCGAGUCAUCAGCUCGCGUUGAUUACGUCCCUGCCCUUUGUACACACCGCCCGUCGCUCCUACCGAUUGAAUGGUCCGGUGAAAUGUUCGGACCGCGACAAGGCGGACGGUUCGCUGUCAGCUUUGCUGCGGGAAGUUCAUUAAACCUUAUCAUUUAGAGGAAGGAGAAGUCGUAACA
This 329-nucleotide ribosomal RNA is filed under the name uncultured eukaryote. RNAcentral's name for it is "partial 18S ribosomal RNA". It matches the Rfam family "Eukaryotic small subunit ribosomal RNA", at positions 1470 to 1796 of the family's 1831-position model. The record is from RNAcentral.